This 20-nucleotide microRNA is filed under the name Spodoptera frugiperda (fall armyworm). Its description in RNAcentral is "sfr-miR-10495-5p". Lineage: Eukaryota; Metazoa; Arthropoda; Insecta; Lepidoptera; Noctuidae. The record is from miRBase by way of RNAcentral.
CAUCAACCGGGGAUUGUCCU